Molecule: ribosomal RNA, 523 nt
Filed under: uncultured bacterium
Lineage: Bacteria
Description: bacterial SSU rRNA
Rfam family: Bacterial small subunit ribosomal RNA
Source: RNAcentral
GGUCAGGACGAACGCUGGCGGCGUGCCUAAUACAUGCAAGUCGAACGGUCUUUCUAUGGAAGCUUGCUUCCACUGAGAAGAUAGUGGCGAACGGGUGAGUAACACGUGGGUAACCUGCCCAUAAGAGGGGGAUAACAUCCGGAAACGGGUGCUAAUACCGCAUAGUUUUCUUGAUCGCAUGAUUGGGAAAGGAAAGACGGCCUUUGUGCUGUCGCUUAUGGAUGGACCCGCGGCGUAUUAGUUAGUUGGUGAGGUAAUGGCUCACCAAGACGAUGAUACGUAGCCGACCUGAGAGGGUGAUCGGCCACAUUGGGACUGAGACACGGCCCAAACUCCUACGGGAGGCAGCAGUAGGGAAUCUUCCGCAAUGGACGAAAGUCUGACGGAGCAACGCCGCGUGAGUGAAAGAAGGUUUUCGGAUCGUAAAACUCUGUUGUCAGAGAAGAACAAGUUGGAGAGUAACUGCUCCAGCCUUGACGGUAUCUGACCAGAAAGCCACGGCUAACUACGUGCCAGCCGCCGC